GCCGGGCAUGGUGGUGCAUACCUGUAAUCCCAGUUACUUGGGAGGCUGAGGCAGGAGAAUCGCUUGAACCUGGGAGGCUGAGGUUGUGGUAAGCCGAGAUUGCGCCACUGUACUUCAGCCUGGGUAACAGAGUGAGACUCUGUCUCAA
Gorilla gorilla gorilla (western lowland gorilla) is the source of this 148-nucleotide non-coding RNA. It matches the Rfam family "Metazoan signal recognition particle RNA". Rfam says of the family: The signal recognition particle (SRP) is a universally conserved ribonucleoprotein. Lineage: Eukaryota; Metazoa; Chordata; Mammalia; Primates; Hominidae. The record is from Rfam.